UGCAAGUCGAACGAGUGCCUUCGGGUGCUAGUGGCGCACGGGUGCGUAACGCGUGGGAAUCUGCCCUUUGGUUCGGAAUAACAGUUGGAAACGACUGCUAAUACCGGAUGAUGACGAAAGUCCAAAGAUUUAUCGCCAGAGGAUGAGCCCGCGUAGGAUUAGCUAGUUGGUGUGGUAAAGGCGCACCAAGGCGACGAUCCUUAGCUGGUCUGAGAGGAUGAUCAGCCACACUGGGACUGAGACACGGCCCAGACUCCUACGGGAGGCAGCAGUGGGGAAUAUUGGACAAUGGGCGAAAGCCUGAUCCAGCAAUGCCGCGUGAGUGAUGAAGGCCUUAGGGUUGUAAAGCUCUUUUACCCGGGAUGAUAAUGACAGUACCGGGAGAAUAAGCUCCGGCUAACUCCGUGCCAGCAGCCGCGGUAAUACGGAGGGAGCUAGCGUUGUUCGGAAUUACUGGGCGUAAAGCGCACGUAGGCGGCUUUGUAAGCUAGAGGUGAAAGCCUGGAGCUCAACUCCAGAACUGCCUUUAAGACUGCAUCGCUUGAAUCCAGGAGAGGUGAGUGGAAUUCCGAGUGUAGAGGUGAAAUUCGUAGAUAUUCGGAAGAACACCAGUGGCGAAGGCGGCUCACUGGACUGGUAUUGC
RNAcentral lists this ribosomal RNA (643 nucleotides) under uncultured Sphingomonas sp. RNAcentral describes it as "bacterial SSU rRNA". It matches the Rfam family "Bacterial small subunit ribosomal RNA", at positions 56 to 743 of the family's 1533-position model. Lineage: Bacteria; Pseudomonadati; Pseudomonadota; Alphaproteobacteria; Sphingomonadales; Sphingomonadaceae. The record is from RNAcentral.